RNAcentral lists this ribosomal RNA (753 nucleotides) under uncultured Comamonadaceae bacterium. RNAcentral describes it as "bacterial SSU rRNA". It matches the Rfam family "Bacterial small subunit ribosomal RNA", at positions 28 to 776 of the family's 1533-position model. The record is from RNAcentral. Lineage: Bacteria; Pseudomonadati; Pseudomonadota; Betaproteobacteria; Burkholderiales; Comamonadaceae.
AUUGAACGCUGGCGGCAUGCCUUACACAUGCAAGUCGAACGGCAGCACGGGAGCAAUCCUGGUGGCGAGUGGCGAACGGGUGAGUAAUACAUCGGAACGUGCCCAAUCGUGGGGGAUAACGCAGCGAAAGCUGUGCUAAUACCGCAUACGAUCUACGGAUGAAAGCAGGGGAUCGCAAGACCUUGCGCGAAUGGAGCGGCCGAUGGCAGAUUAGGUAGUUGGUGAGGUAAAGGCUCACCAAGCCGUCGAUCUGUAGCUGGUCUGAGAGGACGACCAGCCACACUGGGACUGAGACACGGCCCAGACUCCUACGGGAGGCAGCAGUGGGGAAUUUUGGACAAUGGGCGAAAGCCUGAUCCAGCCAUGCCGCGUGCAGGAUGAAGGCCUUCGGGUUGUAAACUGCUUUUGUACGGAACGAAACGGCCUUUUCUAAUAAAGAGGGCUAAUGACGGUACCGUAAGAAUAAGCACCGGCUAACUACGUGCCAGCAGCCGCGGUAAUACGUAGGGUGCAAGCGUUAAUCGGAAUUACUGGGCGUAAAGCGUGCGCAGGCGGUUAUGUAAGACAGUUGUGAAAUCCCCGGGCUCAACCUGGGAACUGCAUCUGUGACUGCAUAGCUAGAGUACGGUAGAGGGGGAUGGAAUUCCGCGUGUAGCAGUGAAAUGCGUAGAUAUGCGGAGGGACACCGAUGGCGAAGGCAAUCCCCUGGACCUGUACUGACGCUCAUGCACGAAAGCGUGGGGAGCAAACAGG